CUGGAACGCAUUCUGGCGGCCCGCAA
This 26-nucleotide small RNA is filed under the name Bombyx mori (domestic silkworm). RNAcentral describes it as "ovarian small RNA-4973". Lineage: Eukaryota; Metazoa; Arthropoda; Insecta; Lepidoptera; Bombycidae. The record is from RNAcentral.